GCCAUGAGGACUAUAGUUUGUACGUAAUUCUAGGAGAGAAGAAGAACGUGGAGGAGAAGGAUCUUGAGAAUAAGGCUUUAGCGAUUGGCUCCCCAUGCCCAGUGCUACUCCUCGGAUUGGCUGCGCACCAACUCCAUCGAUUACUGUGAAUGAAACCGAGCACUGCAGAACAUACACAGAUUUACAGGACCCUGAACUGAGCAGAAAGUUACCCAACAUUCUUUAAUUGGACUGAGGAGAAAGUUACCUAAUAUUCUGGAAUUGGACUGAGGAGAAAGUUACCUAAUAUUCUGGAAUUGGACUGAGGAGAAAGUUACCCAAUAUUCUGGAAUUUUACCUUUUUAAAGAAUCAAAUGGACACAGCAUGAGAUUCUCCACCACUGACUUUCUAUACUAUAGUUGGAGAAACUCAUAGUGAAUCCUGAAUCCUAACUUGUGAAAGAAGCCCACAACUUGAAUUCAUAAACAUCUCCCAUAAUAAUAUUUGUGUUGUAUGCACGUCUCAAGUUGUAAGAUGUGUCCCUUAGAGUAAUAAUAGCACAAAGCCAAUAUACCCCACGUAUUCCAUCUUGUUUUGGCUUUAUACAAACUAAAUAUGUAUAUUAUACAUGCUGUUUAUCUUUUAAUACAUCUUUUCCAAGUAUGUUUUGUUUCUGUUCGAUAUUCUGUUAUGAAAAUAUAAUGCUUUCUACA
Molecule: long non-coding RNA, 693 nt
Organism: Salvelinus fontinalis (brook trout)
Lineage: Eukaryota; Metazoa; Chordata; Actinopteri; Salmoniformes; Salmonidae
Exons: 3
Source: RefSeq, a predicted model, not a curated record